GCUAUCUUAGUUUAUAAAGAACCCCUAACUUGCACUUAGGAAGAGGAAUUUACCCCCAGAAAGCA
Molecule: transfer RNA, 65 nt
Filed under: Orbinia latreillii
Lineage: Eukaryota; Metazoa; Annelida; Polychaeta; Orbiniidae
Description: tRNA-Ala
Source: RNAcentral